Molecule: small nuclear RNA, 23 nt
Filed under: Arabidopsis thaliana (thale cress)
Lineage: Eukaryota; Viridiplantae; Streptophyta; Magnoliopsida; Brassicales; Brassicaceae
Description: snRNA_19108
Source: RNAcentral
AAUUGUAGGUCACACCCGUUGAC